RNAcentral lists this ribosomal RNA (240 nucleotides) under uncultured Lactobacillus sp. Its description in RNAcentral is "partial 16S ribosomal RNA". It matches the Rfam family "Bacterial small subunit ribosomal RNA", at positions 122 to 355 of the family's 1533-position model. The record is from RNAcentral. Lineage: Bacteria; Bacillati; Bacillota; Bacilli; Lactobacillales; Lactobacillaceae.
UAACCUGCCCAAGAGAUCGGGAUAACACCUGGAAACAGAUGCUAAUACCGGAUAACAACAGAUGAUGCCUAUCAACUGUUUAAAAGAUGGUUCUGCUAUCGCUCUUGGAUGGACCUGCGGUGCAUUAGCUAGUUGGUAGGGUAACGGCCUACCAAGGCUAUGAUGCAUAGCCUAGUUGAGAGACUGAUCGGCCACAUUGGGACUGAGACACGGCCCAAACUCCUACGGGAGGCAGCAGCC